Transfer RNA from Guillardia theta CCMP2712, 72 nucleotides. It matches the Rfam family "tRNA". From Rfam's summary of the family: Transfer RNA (tRNA) molecules are approximately 80 nucleotides in length. Their secondary structure includes four short double-helical elements and three loops (D, anti-codon, and T loops). The record is from Rfam. Lineage: Eukaryota; Cryptophyceae; Pyrenomonadales; Geminigeraceae.
GACGUGGUGGCGCAAUGGUAGCGCGUUCGACUCCAGAUCGAAAGGUUGGGGGUUCGAUUCCCUCUCGCGUCA